GGUUCGGAAUAACCCGGGGAAACUCGGGCUAAAACCGGAUACGUCCGUAAGGAGAAAGAUUUAUCGCCGAAGGAUCGGCCCGCGUCGGAUUAGCUAGUUGGUGAGGUAACGGCUCACCAAGGCGAUGAUCCGUAGCUGGUCUGAGAGGACGAUCAGCCACACUGGGACUGAGACACGGCCCAGACUCCUACGGGAGGCAGCAGUGGGGAAUAUUGGACAAUGGGCGCAAGCCUGAUCCAGCCAUGCCGCGUGAGUGAUGAAGGCCUUAGGGUUGUAAAGCUCUUUCGGCGGGGACGAUAAUGACGGUACCCGCAUAAGAAGCCCCGGCUAACUUCGUGCCAGCAGCCGCGGUAAUACGAAGGGGGCUAGCGUUGCUCGGAAUCACUGGGCGUAAAGCGCACGUAGGUGGGU
This 411-nucleotide ribosomal RNA is filed under the name uncultured bacterium. Its description in RNAcentral is "bacterial SSU rRNA". It matches the Rfam family "Bacterial small subunit ribosomal RNA", at positions 135 to 580 of the family's 1533-position model. The record is from RNAcentral.